AACGCUGGCGGCAGGCCUAACCCAUGCAAGUCGAGCGGAUGAAGGGAGCUUGCUCCUGGCUUCAGCGGCGGACGGGUGAGUAAUGCCUAGGAAUCUGCCUGGUAGUGGGGGAUAACGUCCGGAAACGGGCGCUAAUACCGCAUACGUCCUGAGGGAGAAAGUGGGGGAUCUUCGGACCUCACGCUAUCAGAUGAGCCUAGGUCGGAUUAGCUAGUUGGUGGGGUAAAGGCCUACCAAGGCGACGAUCCGUAACUGGUCUGAGAGGAUGAUCAGUCACACUGGAGCUGAGACACGGUCCAGACUCCUACGGGAGGCAGCAGUGGGGAAUAUUGGACAAUGGGCGAAAGCCUGAUCCAGCCAUGCCGCGUGUGUGAAGAAGGUCUUCGGAUUGUAAAGCACUUUAAGUUGGGAGGAAGGGCAGUAAGUUAAUACCUUGCUGUUUUGACGUUACCAACAGAAUAAGCACCGGCUAACUUCGUG
RNAcentral lists this ribosomal RNA (480 nucleotides) under uncultured bacterium. RNAcentral describes it as "partial 16S ribosomal RNA". It matches the Rfam family "Bacterial small subunit ribosomal RNA", at positions 32 to 507 of the family's 1533-position model. The record is from RNAcentral.